This 976-nucleotide ribosomal RNA is filed under the name Quinqueloculina yabei. RNAcentral describes it as "bacterial SSU rRNA". It matches the Rfam family "Eukaryotic small subunit ribosomal RNA", at positions 1160 to 1828 of the family's 1831-position model. The record is from RNAcentral. Lineage: Eukaryota; Foraminifera; Miliolida; Miliolidae.
AAGGGCACCACAAGAACGCGUGGAGCAUGUGGCUUAAUUUGACUCAACGCGGGAAAUCUUACCAGGUCCAGACAUAUUGAGGAUUGACAGGUGAUAUAUAAUAUAUUUUUAAUAUAUUAUUACAAAUAUGAUAGUCCUUUCAUGAUUAUAUGAUAGGUGGUGCAUGGCCGUUCUUAGUUCGUGGAGUGAUCUGUCUGCUUAAUUGCGUUUCAUAUAAUAUUACAUAAUAAUACUUAAUAUAUUAUUUUAAGUGUUCUGCCUUUUUAAGGAUUGUGAACCUUUUAUAAUAUUUAAUAUUAUUAUAUUUAAAUGAAUGCAACGAACGUGACUAUAACCUUUUAUUGCAAUAUUUUAUAUAUAAUUUAAUUUUUAUAAUUUUAUUAUAUUAUAUUGCUUAAAAUUAAAGGAACCGCUGUCUAAUAUUUAGUGUUAAAACAGAGGAAGAUUAUGGCAAUAACAGGUCUGUGAUGCCCUCAGAUGUUCUGGGCUGCACACGUGCUACAAUAAUUACUAUAAUAAGUGUCUAAUUAAUAUAAAUAUAUACUUAAUAUAUUUUUAAUAUUUCGUAUAUAUAUAAAACCUAUUUCGAAAGUGAAUGGGUAAUCAUUUAAAAAUCGUGAUUAUCAUUUUAUACAACAAUUUUAAAUAAUAUAUAUUUAUAAUUAAUAUUUUAUAUAUUAUUAUAUUAUAUAUUAUGUUGUAUUAAUUAAUUUAAGGUGGGGAUAGUGAAUUGUUAAUUAUUUCACUUGGCCUUAACUAGGAAUGCCUUGUACUGUUCCUUGGUUCAUCAUACCAACAGGAAUACGUCCCUGCCCUUUGUACACACCGCCCGUCGCUCUUACCGAUGAAUUAUAUUAUAAAUCUAAGGGACUUAAAAUUAUAUUUAUUAUAAUUUCGGAAACUUAUAUGCAUAAUGUGAUCUAAAGGAAAGAGAAGUCGUAACAAGGCAUCGGUAGGUGAACCUGCAGAAGGAUCA